Molecule: long non-coding RNA, 42637 nt
Filed under: Gossypium raimondii (Peruvian cotton)
Lineage: Eukaryota; Viridiplantae; Streptophyta; Magnoliopsida; Malvales; Malvaceae
Description: long non-coding RNA (GRAI_LNC006902)
Source: RNAcentral
GUGCUCUGGCAUUUUUCUUCUUUUGUAAUCCAAUUGAUACAUGGGUUGUUCAGUUUUGGAUGAUCUAUGUAUGUAAUUAAUUUCUAGGUCUUUGUGGAUUUUGGAUGCUUAUCUUUUAGAUCGGUGUCCCCCCCCCCUUUUUCUCUUUGGUUUAAAUUGUUUUAUAUUUUAUGAGUUCAGGUUUUGCUGCUAAAUUAUGUCUGGAACACAAUUUUAGCCUCUUUUGUUUAGAUCAUGAUGAAAGUUCAAGAAAAAGAUGCUGAAUUGUUUUUAGAAUUUCUUGUUUCUUUUAAUUAUUAGGGUUUAGCACCUGGAGCUUGAUUCUGUCAUUUAUAUUUCUGCAUAAUUAUAUGAACUUUAUGGUUUUUAAUUUGAUAAUGCUGGCAUGAAUGUUUGUCUGAAAUGAAUUUUAUGCAUGAUGUGCAUGAUAUUGUAGGCAUCAUAAGUAAUAUCUAUUAUUUCUCAAAUUUACACUUGACUGGAGAUUGAAUUUGAAGUUGACCAAGUUAAACUUUUAAGAUGAUUUUUUAAAAAAAAAAUUGCUGUGAAGAAUAUAAAAUCUUGAAUCAACCUGAUUUCUGAAUGUUAGUUCGUAUUUUCUUUCAUUUGAGAUGAACUCUACCUGAAUAAUCAUGGAUGCACACUGUUAUGUGGCCUGAGUUGUUGUUCUUUAUCCAUAAAACAGCAUUCGUGAUGGUGAAAGCAUAUGCGCAAGAGCACAUUUACAAACAUCCGUGGGAGCGAGUAACUUCUGCAUCUUGGCGUAAGUUCGCUGACCCUGAAAACAAGCGUACCUUGUCUCAUAUUCUAGAAGUUGACACAUUGAAUCGCAAACUCGAUCCUCUCUCCGGUAAGCUUUACACUACUCGGGCUCUUACCAUCCAUGCUCCAGGGCCAUGGUUUGUUCGCAAAAUCGUUGGCCAGGACAUCUGCCACUGUGUUGAAUCAACAGUGGUUGAUGCCCAAUCAAAGUCAAUGCAACUUGCAACCCGUAAUGUCAGUCUUCAGAAGUUUAUAGAGGUAGAGGAGAAGAUAAGGUAUGAUCCUCACCCAGAUAAUCCAACAGGAUGGACCAUUUGUCGACAGGAGACUAGCAUUCGUAUUAAGCCAUUAUCAGCUCUGGCAUCCAUGGCUGAGAAAGUGGAGCAACGAUGUGCUGAGAGGUUUAUGCAAAAUAGUGUGAAGGGAAGAGAGGUUAUGGAGAGGAUCUGCAAGUAUCUUGAAGCUGAAUCUAGUGGGAUGGCUCUAUAACUCUGACUUUGUGCACUUGAAGCUUUAAUUGCUUCUCUUACAGAUUAGGAAAUAAGUAACACAAGAAUGCCAAGUUUAACUUUAAUUUUGAAUGCCCUUUUUGGACUUGGUGCAAAUUUUGAUGUAGUCCGUAUCUAGUCUCCUACUAUAGAAGUUUAUGAUAUUAUAAAUGCGGCGGAGCAUUUUGCGGAUAGAAUUCAAUUACUUUCGGAGUCAGAGAUGCUCUUUGGAUCCCCAUAGUUUUGCACAUUAAACAAAACGCAAUAAUCUACUCCAUUGGUUAGCACGUCCAAAGCAUAUGUUAACUGUAUUGAUUUAAGAGCAAUGUCGAUGGUAACCAACAGGUUACUAGUGAAACUAGGGGUCAAUCUCCCCUAAAUAUUUGCUAGCUUUACCUGCACAACAUAAACUCUAUAUUUGGCGGUCCAGAAGGUGAAACUUUAGGGUCAAUGUAACGAGAGUGGGCAUAGAAUGGACGCAUGAAAUGCAGCAAAGCCGAAAAAUGACCAGAUAUCGAAUCCUGAGCUCCAUAUACUUGUAGAUCAUGCAUAAAUGCAAUCUAUCAUGAUAUUCAUGACCCAUGUUCUUUCUCCAUAAUAUAUAUCUAUAAAUAUAUUGACAAUUAUCAUCAAAAUUGUGAACUUGUGAAAGGCAAGUAACAUAAAAAAAUAAACACUUCGAAGCAGAAAGGUUCACGACUUUCAAUUGAGAAAACCCUUUGUGUGUCAAACCUCUCUUAGUUCCGAUGGCCAACCCCAAAGUGAAACCUCUUUGCCUGCCUGUCGUUAAAAGCAUAUUCGAGUCGCAAAGGCCCUAAAGGUGAGUCCACUCGGAUGCCAAAACCAUAUCCAUAUCCACUUCCAGGCUUAUAUCUUGCCCCUGCAGGAUCACCUGAAAAACCAAAACAAACAGUUCAUAGGAAAGAAAGAAUGUUACAAGGGCAGAGAUUUCACAAGCAGAUUAAAUAAGAAAUGAAAGCGAAGAUUAAUCAGAACAGACUUACCAGGCACACUGGGGCCCGACCAUAGAUCAUGUCCAUAAUCAGCAAAAAUAACACCUUCCACAGGCCCCAGCUACACAACAGCAAAAAUAUAAAAUAAGAUAAUCAACUGAAUAGAAGAAUUCUCCAAGCAUUUUGAAUUUUUUCUUACAUCUUUCCCACUUCCUUUUUCUUAAACCGUAUUAUCUUAUUCCCACCUAUCAUCACUGUCAAGUCGGGAUUGAAAAGAAAACAAAGAAUAAUGAAAAUGGGUAAAACUGGAAAAAGAAAAAAGGAGAGGCAAUAGUGCAAUGGAAGCAAUGGAGCUUCAAAGGCCAGUGGCCUGUGCAGCACCAGUGCAGCUGGAAGCACUCUAAUUGUGCUGCUAGACUCUUGCUGAACAGACGCAGAACCUUGCUCCGAAACAUGCUCAUCACACUGUAAUGGCUCUGCCAAACAGAGCCUAGGUGCAAGGAAUCCUUACAGCAAGCACAAGAUACUCAUGAAGCAACAAAAGAAGAGGCAGGAUUUUUAUGCACCUACCAUUGGGAAAGAAACUUCACUAGAUCCAACUACAUAAGAUCGUCCGGAGCCCACAGCACCUUCUUCAUAACCUCUCACACUGUUUGUUCCACCAAUAGCAAACGCUUCGUGAGGAGAAAAACUUCCCACCACUUUCCCACCAGACAAACUAGCAAUAAAGAACAGAGCAAGUCAGCAAACCAUAUGGCAACACUCUCCAACUGUUUCCCCUUCAAUUUCUUUCUUUGGAUAAAUAUUUAAGCUCAGGGAUGAUUACCAUCCAAAUAUAAACCAUUACAAUUAUAACAUAUCGUUCCAUGUAUACAUGAAAAAGUAAAUAAUAAGCAUAAUACCUUAAAAGAAGGCGAGUAGGACCAAUUUCAACACCUUUUCUUGCCCGAGCAUUCACUCUGUUGAAGAACAGCCACUCAGGCAUGACAGGAAGCCCUUGUUCCAUGUUAAAUGCAAACUGCAAAGGUAACAGAAGUUAGGCCCAUCCAUGUCAGAAGAGAUGAAAAGCCACAGGGUGCAGAUGCUAACCAUGGAGGAACCUUGAUCACCAGAACCAGUAUAGACACAUUCAAAUUUAGCCACUAACAUAUCGUCGUAAGGCUUACCACUACAUUAAGAUUUCAAUUUAAAAAAGGGGGAUUUAAUAGAUGAUUAGAAGCAAGCAAAUAAAAUUAAAAGAAUACUGAUAACAGCAAACUAAUGCUGUAAAUGAAUCUUAUAGAAGCUAUAAACACAAGGCCACAGACAUACAAACCUUGCUGUAAGUGGGCUGCCAUAGAAGUCCUUGAUAAUUGGAUUUCCUUUUUCAUCACGAGCACCAGCAUGCUGCAUGUUUAUAUAUUAUAAAUAAAUCAUAUAACUGAAACAUAACCCAUAAUCCCCCAAAAUAUCAAAUUCAAGUUCAGAAUUAAAGGUGCUUGUAGGGUGCUACUUUUCACAAACUUCUCUUUGAAGGAAAAACAGAACAAACAAAGAACCUAUGGAAUGAAGUAACAUUCCAUACCUGAAAAAUAAGACCCGCUGUCCCACUCCAUUUUGGCCUCAGUGGUCGACUAAACUCUAUACCAGCUGUUACACGGCCAAUGCUCAGACUGCUAUUGUCAUGUUGGUUACCAUGCACAAGUGUCCCUGGGGUUCUUGAAUUCUUUUAAAAAAGAGAGAGAGAGCUCAAUGUAGAAAUCAACCUUCCAAUUAUUUAAAAAGUAAAAGCAAAACCCACCUGGAUAAUUAUUGUUCUAGAUGUCCUCUUAUCAUCUCCUUCAAUCCAUGGGUCUGUAUAGUUAAUUCGGAAUAUAGAGUCGAUUUGGCCCCUCUCUAAGGAAAUAUUAAGCUUUUGGUUUCUUCCAAACAAAUUUCUAUGAGAAUAUGCAAAGCUGCACAUAGGACAUGACAAAUGAGACAAGAUCAACAGCAUAAAACAUUGCAUCAGAUAAAUAUAGAAGACUCAAAUUCCUCUCCCUUUAAUCUCAAGAACAAUAGGACAGGAAUCAAGCAAUGCUAAAAGCUCAAAGCGACAUAAAAAGGUCAGUGAGAUGAAACAUAACAUUUGUAUGCACAAAUCAAAUGGAACCACAAAAGGAGUAAGAUGAAUGGCACAUAAGGAAUCAGCCAGGAACUAAAUAUGCUAUGUUACCUUCCAAUAAGUCCUGAUAAAGGGCCACUUGUAAUCCUGCAAAAUUACAGAUCACUUGCAUAAAUAUUAUUUAAGAUAUACCACAGAUAAAUAAGUACGGACUUUACUAGCUAAAUUAGGUAGAACAUGUAGAAUUGCAAUUUAAACUAGCAAGACUUACCCGCUUGAUAUUCCACCACCAGCAGAAAAACCACCACUUGGACGUUCAACAACAUUCAUUACCAAAUCAACUUUACCAGCAUCUAAAAUGUUUACAAUCAAACGAUAAUAGACAAAUAAAUGCAUAGAAAAGCUCUGAAAAUUUUAGCAUCUUUACUUGCAAACUAUUACCGAAAAGAAAAAAGAAAAAAAAGCAUGUCAUGUGAUGCCUUUAAAAUCAAUUGGCAUCAAAUCCUGUAUAGGAAAAUACAAAUGUAUUCCAUUGGUUUCAAGUUUCAACAAAAGCUUUGUGCUACCCUAGCAACUAAAAUAAGUCUUUAUGGCAACUGAAAAGUAGAAAAAAGAAAAUCUUACUGCCAGAUCAUCGAAAAUUUUGACUUAAUCUAGUUGACACUUUUGCUCUUUUUUGGGGGACUAUUUAUCCCUUGUUUUCAGUUCCUUUAUAUUUUUAUUUUUAUUUUAUUUUAUUGCUUUUCAUUAUCUAUCACACACAAAAAAAAAAAGCAAGAACUAAAAGCACCUAUAGUAUAAAGCCUUUGUCUUCCAAAGCCAAUAUUCAACAGAACAUGUGUUCUUAGAAGCAUUGGAAAUUUCUUAGGACCAUACAUUCAAAAUAGAUACAAGAAACCUUUGUAAAAAGAAAGCGAGUAUGGGAGUAUUUCAGACAAAUACAAAUGGUAGCCAUAUUCUAAAAGCUUAACGGAAAUUCCAUGUCAAUCUGUUCUCGUAUCUAUUUUGAAGUCACUAAGAAAGAUUUCCAUCAAUUACAAUGGGAAUAAACAAAUCAAAUAACAUUUAAUUUGCUAAUACUACUGUUUACUAUAACAUGAUUACGGUUACGCCAAUCCAUAAUAACAAUCCAGAAUAAACCAGUGCACGUUGCUGUUGUAACAUAAUAUUUACUACCAUAACAAUACUAAUCUAGAAUAAAAUUCAGUGACAUUCUUGCUAUUGCAUUAUUAUUACCCUGAAUAUUCUGCAUUAAUCAAGUAAAUGUAUAAAACAUUAACCAAAAACUGACUAGGAGAAUGCACAUUAAAUACAUGUUCAGGAACUAGAUUAAACAUUUUCAGGAACACAACAUACAAUUUUGUGCAAGCUUCUUUAAAAGACAUACUCACUCACCUCCAGCCGGUUGAGGUAUGAUACUGACAUCUGCCAUAAGACCCAUAGUUGACACUGUAUCCACAUCUCUUUUUCCUUGAAGCAUACUAUACACCUAUAAGAGGAUCAUUCGAAGGAAGCAACACAAGAUAGUCAGGACAGUGGUGCUCACCACAAGCACUCUUCUUUGAUAAGAAUAGACUAGCUUCAUGAUUAAUCAUCAAUUAAAAACCUAUGCACGUAACAAAAGCUGGACCUAGGAUCACACCUGUCCCUUCUUGGUAGUGAGUUGCCUAAGUAUUGUUUCAGGCUUUGUCUUCCCUUUAGUUGGUUCACCACUGAAACAAUUACAAGCUUUUGCAGUCAUAUAUCCCAAUACUAAUAAAUCCAAAAGUCCGAUAUACAUGUUUUGGAGUCUGCCUAUUUAAGUAAACACACACCCAAGUGUGCAUAAAGCAAACUGAAGGAAGCUUCUUACGUCUUUCGAUCAAGGAAGCGUAUGGAUAUAUUGUUGACCUCAGCUUCUGCAACUUGUAACCUUAUAAUACCUCCAGAAAAAAUAUCAACUCCAGAAACCUAUAAGUUCAAAGGACAGUUUAAACAACAUGGUUUGUCUUCAAAGACUAACAAAUAGAACAUUUGCAAGUACAAAUUAAAGAACCCAGCAAGGCAAGGUACUAACCAAGCCAAAAAGACCACGUUCCAUAUACCAUCCAUUGAUGGAAUUAAUUACUUCAUCCAAACGCUUGAGAUUUACCACUUUUCCUGCACAGCUUGACACCAAAAGUGAAAAUAAUGAAGGCCUCCUAUGACCAUAAUUAACAAGCAGCUCAUCAAGCUAAUCAUCUAAGAGCAAGUCCGUCCAUACUUAAGAAUGCAAAAAGAAAACUUACCAUGUCCUUCACGAAAAGCAUCCUCAAGAAACUUUGAUGGAAGAACAUUGGCUCCUUCACAGACCAAUCCGUGGAACUCCUGAUUUGGUUCUACCUUAUGCCACAAGAAGCCAAUGUCAACCAAAUCAGUAUUGUGUUUCUCCAUGUGCCUAAGUUAUGGGCAUAUAAUGCCCAAGACAGGAGCAAAAUGUUGAACUAAAAGUGAAAAAAAAAACUAUGAAACAUGAAAGGGCAGCCAAAACUAGCAUUUAUACUUUUGCUCGCAGCAUAUGAUUAUGAGACUAUCUCAUUCUAUUAAGUUUUCCCAGAGACACUCCAUAAAGUAAGCAUGUGCUCUACUUUACUGAAAACAGAUGACAACAAAGACAGAACAAAGGGGGCACAGAACAGACAAUUUACUUCCAAUUCCCCUAAAUUCUAACAUAGAAGAAUAGACUGGUGCAAAAGAGAUCACUGACCUAAGCCCCCAACUCCAUCCUAACCAUAUAAAGACAUGUGUAUGUGCAUGUCUGGUGAACUAGCGGCCACUGUCCUCCAGUAGCAGCAGUCUCCAAGACUGCACUAUGCUGCUACGACCCUGAGAAUUUGAAUCAGGCUCGUAACAGCCAGAAGAAACAUAGUAACAGUCUGUCACAGUCAUAGUGGCCUGGGAACCUAACAGAUGUUUUCCAUUUCCAAUCACAAGCCUUUUCUCCCCCUGUUUUUUCUUUAUGCUUCUGUUUUCGCCAAAAUCAUCCUUUACAUUUCGACACCCUCCCUUUCAUUGGUUUACCCACUUUGCCUCACCAACAACGGUCUUGUUCCAAGGCCUUAAGACAAAUUUCUGCUUCCAAGGCCAGUUUCUAGAUUCAAAUGGAAUGUUAUCCAUUGCAAUGACCUAAAACCUAGCAGCUCAACUCCAUAUCAAUUCUCUAUUUAGAAUCCUAUGAUUGUUCAAAACAAGUAGGAAAAAAAAAAGAAACGACACCAAAAUGUAAAUAAAAUGAAUUUGGCUUGAGACAAAAUACUUGAAACACCAAUCUGAUACCAUCCCGCGUGUCAACGGCCACAGGCAUACAGGAAGAGAAGUAACCGCUAUCGAUGAUCCGGUGGACAUCUUCCUGAACCUCCCGCACCGUCAAAGCAGAGUUGGCUCGGCAAGCUUUCAACGCGGUAAGGGCUUCCAUUUCGAGGUCUUUCCGCUCCAACUCCUCUCCAUCUUUGUUCCUGACAAGAACCUCGCUUAUCAAAACCCUCUCCUCGUCGUAACGACCAGCAGUAGUGGACUGUCCCUUCUGAGGCACCUCCGAACCAGACUGAGUGGAGUCGGGAGGAUUGGGUUGAGACAGGGACAAGGAAGCGGAACAUAGCAGAGGCGCAUUAACAAGGUCGUAGGUCUGGGCUGUUAGAGAGAGAGACGCACAGCAUAGUAGGGGAGAGUGAGUGGAUGUGGUAGGAGGGAGGGAGCGAUUCCUGAGGGAGUGAAGGAGUUGGAAAAGGGAGUGACGAGCUCUGGAGAGGGGAGAGGCUAGGGUUUGGGAGGGAGAAGGGACAGGGAUUUUGAAAGAAGAGGAGGUGAAACAAACGCCAUCGUUGCGAUGCAUUGCGGAUGGGGAUAUGAAGAAAUGAGUUCCUCAAUACUCAAAUGCUAUCUAUGAGAAUGAAUACUGCACACCGUGCAACAAUUUUGGGGGUUGAGAAAUUUGAGGUGUUAUUGUUUUAGUUAUAGAAGGGAGGAAAGGAACGACAUUAACAUUAGUUGCCUAGUACUGGUAUAACACAAACUCUCAUUGUGGUUGGGCUAGGGUUUUUAUGAAGCAAUCAAUCUAAACAGGUUUCGAGUAAAAUUAGGAUGAGCAGCUCAUUGGCCCUUCCAUUUCUGAGCCUCUCAGCUCCCAAAUUUUUUACUCUCUUUCCUUUUGUCGAGAUUGGGUUUGCAAUUCCAUUGUGUUUAAAUCAUAUUUAAAUAGAAUAAACUACACCAAUUCCAUUAAACUAUCAUGAAAUUUUCAUUUUGGUUAUUUAAUUUUAAAUUUCAGAAAUUUUUUGUUUAAGUUACUAAACUAUUCAAAAAAAAUUAUUUAAGUUUCAAAUGAAGAUUCGACAAUUAAUGCAGUAGAUUAAAACAUAUCGAUGAGUAAAAAAAUAUAAUUUAGAUCCAAGUUGAUAAGAUGGUCGCUGUCGGAUAUCAAAGAAGAAAGUUAUUUGAGUUUGGUUAACUGAUUCAUGUUGUUAAAAGGUGUUUCAUGAAAAAGAAAAUUUGAUUGUUAAAAGAGAAAACGAAAGAGAGCUUUUAAUUGGUGUAGACAAUACAAAUAGAAAACAUCAUGCUGUAGAGACUUUAAUAGUUAAGUGACUUAAAUGAAAACUUUCAAAUAAUUUAAUGAUCAUUUUAUAAUUACUUUAAAAUUGAAAAACCAAAAUAUAAAUUUAUUAAUGAUUUAAUAAUUUAAGACCCACUAAUUUAAGAUAAUAAACUACAAAUUUUCAAAUAAUUCAGUAAUUUAAAUAAAAAAUUUUAAAUAUCUGUUUUUAAGAUUUUCAGUUAGCAGUGAUUGACCAUCCACUAGCUAACGUGGAGUACACUCUACUGGGUGUAAGGCCAAGCCCAACGGUUGACGACCAAAGUCAUCCAACUUGAAAAUGGCCGAUUAUCAUUGAUCAACAAAACGUUGAUAUAGUAGCGAGCUGACUAGAUUUUUUUUCACUUUUAAAGUAGGUGAUGAGAAGGUAUAAUAUAAGAAAGGAAAAAGGAAGAGUAGCACAGCUUAGAAAGAUAAAGGGGUCAGUAAACUUUGGAUUUGCCCUAAAAGAUGACAUAUCCCAUUCUGGAGCAAUUCAAAUAAUGUGGCCAUGCUCAGGAUUAUGUAUUUUUAACAUUAUAGAUUAAGAUUUGAACCCUAAUAUUUAAUAUCAGCAUAAGAUUUUCUUUACUACUCACUCCGUUAGAUUGUUGGUGGUUUAAGAAGAAGAAACUUAUCAAUUUGGGACCAUCUAAUUUCUCUUUUUCUUUUUGAGGAGCCCCUACUGGACCAUGGGAAUAAUUUUUAAAAUUAUAUAUAUAUAUAUAUAUAUAUGAAAUUUCCCGUCGGUUUAAGAAAAUAAAUUUGAUUUUCAUUAUAAAAAUUCGAAAUCGUCUGAAUUUAUAUAUAUAAAUAAUAUAUAUUUAUAUUUGAAUUUACAGAUAUGCUCGUCUGUCUGUAUCAAAAAAGUUAGAGUCUUACCAAUACACGCGACACUUCUAUUAUAAGUUUCUAAAUAAAAAGGAUUUAAUUUUAAAAAUUUUAAUAAAAAUGUUAGAUAAUUUAGUAAAUCCAUAUAAAUAUCGGUAAAGUCUUAGAUAUUUCGGUAAAUCCAAAAUGUUAAUUGAUUUGGUAAAAUUUUAGAUAUUUUGGUAAAUCUAUAUAAAAAUUGGUAAAUCAAUACAAAUAUUGGUAAAGUCUUAGAUAUUUUGGUAAAUCCAAAGAAAUAUUGACCAAUUCAAAUCAUUAAAAAUAAGGGUAAAGUAACAAAAAUUUUGGUAAUUGUUAAGACUUGUAUAGGGUUAGAAAAUUUGGAAAUAUUGGUAAAAUCUUGGAAAUUUUGGUGAAGUCUCAUAAAUAUUUGUAAAUCUAUAGAAAUUUUGACAAAUUGUUAGAUAUAUUGGUAAAUCCUUAGAAAUAGUAGUAAAUUGUCAAAUAUUUUGGUAAGUCCUUAAAAAUUUUGGUAAAUGGUAAAUCAUUAGAUAUAUUGGUAAAUUGUUAGAAAUAUUGGAAAAUCGUUAGAUAUAUUGGUAAAUCAUUAGAUACUUUGGUAAAUCAUUAUAUAUUUUGGUAAAGUCGUAGAAAUUUUGGUAAUUGUUAAGACUUUGUAUAAGGUUUAGAAAAUUUGGAAAUAUUUUUAAGUCUUAGAAAUUUUGAUAAAGUAACAUAAAUAUUGGUAAAUCCAUAAAAAUUUUGGUAAAUUGUUAGAUAUUUUGAUAAAACAUUACGAAUUUUGGUAAAUCAUUAGAUGUUUUGGUAAACCUUAUAAAUUUUGGUAAUUUGUUCGAUAUAUCAGUAAAUCAUUAGAAUUUUUAGUGAACCAUUAGAUAUAUAGGUAAAUUGUUAGAUAUUUUGGUAAAUCCUUGGAGAUAUUGGUAAUUAAAGUCUCAUAAAUAUUGGUAAAUUGAUGGAAAUAUUUAGAAAUAUUGUUAAAUUGUUAGAUAUUUUGAUAAAGUGAUAGAAAUUUUGGUAAUUGAUAAUACUUGGUAUGGUGUUUAGAAAAUUUUGAAAUAUUAGUAAAGUCACAUAAAUAUCGAUAAGUAGAAAAUUUGGUAAACCGUUAGAUAUAUUAGCAAGUUCUUAAAAAUAUUGGUAAAUGGUUAGAAAUAUUAGUAAAUGGUUAGAUAUUUUGUUAAAGUUAUAGAACUUUUGGUGAUUGUUAAAACUUGGUACAUGGUUUUGAAAUUUUGAAAAUAUUGGUGAAAUCUUAUAAAUUCUGGUAAAGUUUUAUAAAUAUUGGUAAAAUGAUAGAUGUUUUGGUAAACAUAUAGAUAUUUUGAUAAAUCCUUAGAAAUUAUAUUGGUGAAACGAUAUUUAAGUAAAUCUUUAGAAAUUUCGGUAAAUCGUUAAAUAUUUUAGGGAAUUCUUAGAAAUUUUGUUAAAGUCAUAUAAAUUUUAGUAAUUGUUAAAACUUGAUAUAUGGUUUAAAAAAUUUGGAAAUAUUGGUAAAAUGUUAAUAAAUUUGGUAAAGUCUCAUGAAUAUUGAAAAAAUGAUAAAAAAUUUAAUAAAUUGUUAGAUAUUUUGGUAAAUCCUUAGAAAUGUUGAUAAACUAUUAGAUAUAUUGGUAAAACGAUAGAAAUUUUGGUAAAUCGUUAGAUAUAUUGAUAAAUAAUUAGAUAUAUUGGUAAAUCCUUAAAUAUUUUGAUAAAACCACUGAACUUUUGAUAAUUGUUAAGAUUUUAUUUAGGGUUUAGAAACUUUUGAAAUAUUUGUAAAAUCAUAAAAAAAUUGGUAAACUCAUAAAUGUUGGUAAAAUAAUAGAAAUUUUAAUAGCUCGUUAAAUAAUUUGAAAGAUCCUUAGAAUUUUUAGUAAAUUGUUAAAUAUAUUGGCAAAACAAUGAAAAUAUUAGCAAUUGUUAAGACUUGAUAUGAGGUUUAGAAAACUUUGAUAUAUUGAUAAUAUCUUAUAAAAAUGGGUACAUUGAUAUUUUUGUUAAAUCAUUAUAUAAUUUAUUAAUUUAUAGUAUAAAAUUUCGAAAUGCAUUCAUUCAUCUUAACAGUUUCUUAGUUAUUUGGACCGCAUUAUGAAUGUUGUAUAAAGAAAAUACAAAUCCUCAUUUCUUUGAAUUUGACCACACUUUACUAACUUUACAUGAAAAAUAUUUAUUAAAUUAUAUCAUGUAAUCCAUAUAUAAAAAGAAAAAAAAUUGAAAUAAUUAAGAUAAAAAAUAGUAAUAGUUAACAUCCGUAAUUAGACAAUCGAUUUACUAACAAAAGUGCACCAUUCAUAUAUACCUAUCAUCAUCCCUUACAGUUGUAAACAACAAUUUAAAUGCUGCUAAACCCAAUAUUUUCAUUAUCGUCUUGUGCAUCAGGUGGUGAAUACUCUCUGUUUGGUCUAUCUUAAUAAAUUUUAAAAACCAAAAUCAAUGGUUUUUUGUCAUCAAGUCAUCAACAAUGCCCAUUCCCUUGUAAUAAAAUUAAUAUUAUAGAGAAAUAUUGAAAGGAAUUAAGAGAGUGUCAAACAAAUGACAUAAAUCAAACUUUCUAUAUGUUUAAAAACAUCAUAGCUGAAAGUUAAAUGAACAUGUUUAAAUUUAAGAAGCAAUUUACUUAUGUUCCGCACCUUUCAAUUUAUUUACUUGAAAUGAAAAGCUUUUUGUCAAUUAGCCGUCUACGUAUCAAUUCAAGAAAAAAAAAGUUGAUUAAUGUUAACUAAAAUGCAUAUUCUUAUACAAUUUAUUGUGUUUGUUAGCAUGAGAAUGUAAAACAAGCAGCUUAUACUCGAAGGGAUAAUGAAAAUUAGAACAAAAUAAAACAAAAUAAAAUAAAAUUAGAUGAUGAAACAAAUACUAAUCCCCCAAAUUGAUUAAAAAAAUACAUUCAUUUGAAACUAAUUUCUCAACAACCAAUUGGUAUAAAAGAAUGCGCCAAAUGAACAAAUAAAAAACAUUAAAACACCAAUAAAUAUAUAUGUAAAAAUAUUUAUUAAAAAACCAUAAAAAAAUAUGUGUAAAAAUCUUAGUAAUUCUAAUUACAAGAUUAAGAGGAAAAAACGGAUAGUUUUAAUAUUGUUGAAAAAUGGAGGUGGCGGUGGGGCUCCGUAAUGAUGAAUGGUGAGAUGAGAGUGGAUGGGUUGACAAUGAUGAACGUCGGGAUAGGAAGCGUCAGUGAUGAUAAAUGGCAAUUAGGGAGGGGAAAAAUUAUUAUUUUUCCGUGAUGGGAGUAGAUGGGUUAGAAAUGCUGAAUGGCGAGAUGGGAGUGGAUAGAUCAACGACGAUGAACGGCAAAAUCAGAGAGGUCAAUGAUGACGAAGGACGACAGGGGAGAGAGGAACGACACAGGAGAAGGGAGGGCUUUUUUAUUUAUUUCCACAACAUGACUUUUUCUUUUGUUGGUAACUGAUUUCCGGGUAAUACCGGUUUCUUCAUUUUCUCUUUUUUUAUUUAUUCACUUUCUGGAUUUCUUUUACAUAUAAUCUAACCGCUCUCACUUUUGGGAGCUUAGGCUAAGUUAAUAUUAAUUUUUCUUUUCGUAGCUUAUGCUAGAAUUUCUGCAAUACGUUUUUUUUUAUAUGAAUGUAUAAAUUGACUACAUAAAAUAAUAAUUACUAAUUAUUAUGAGCUUAUAACAAGAAAUAUUCAUGCAUUUGGUUUAUUAUGAUGCAGGUUUUGACUUUUGACAUUACAAUUAAAAAGGGUGAAAUUUAUUAAGUAAAUAGUAAGCUGUUAAUACCAGAAACAAAAAGUAUGUUUUAUCAAAGCCAGCCUGACGCAUACAAGUUUCGAAGUGUUCGUUGGCUAAAAUUAUACUAAAAUAUUCUUUUUAAUAGUAAUAACAAAUCAAAUUAUAAAUAUUUUACGAGUAACUUUGUCCUAUACAAAAAUCAAAGCAUGUCCAAUUCCAUCAUUUAACUCCCUCCAUUUUGUUAAUUAUUUUAUGUUAGAAGAUUUAUAGUAGGUUGAUAAAUUAUGAUUGAGAGAGUCGAGAAAUCUUAAAAUCUUCACUUUGAAUAUUUCUUUCUUAUGUUGAGAGUAAUUAUUGGAGUAUCUUUAUUGAUAAGUUAUGACAUAUUUUUAGAUAUUAUUUAGAGAGAUUUUUUAAUUACAAAAUAUUUAAAUGAAUGAUUUAUGAUAAAUAAAAUGGAUGUUAAAUUGCAUUUACAUUUUUGCGCUUCUUCUAAGAUAAAACAAAAAGAGAAGAAUAUUAUAAAUUUUGAUUGAUCAUGGGUAACAAAAUGGGGAACUGGACCAGAGGAAAGAAAGCAUAAAUUUUUUUUAUUCGGGUUCAAAUAAUUAGUAUAGGAAAGAAAAUGUUCUAAUGUUUAAAAAAUGGAAAGUUUUAAUUUAAUAUCGGCCUUAAUUUAUUUUUAUUUAAUGAUUUAAAAAAAUUAAUGAAUUUUACACUGGUGUAUAAAUAUAUGUAUAUAUAGCAUAAAGAUAGCGGUGAUCCGUGGGUUAGUUAAGCAAGGUGGUGGGAAAUGGCAUAUAAGACGUUAAGUUCAAAUAUUCAUUUUCCUCCAUUAUAUAAAUUUGACUAAAAAAGACGAACAGAAACCCUCCCUCGAAAAGCCAAACUCUGCCACUUUCUCUUCUUUCUCCUGCGACCGUCCAUUCCAUUCCAUUCUCCCUUCCUCUUCUCUUCUCUUUGGGAACAAAAUUCCAAUUCCGCUUCUCAAACCUUAGCAAAUAUAAUCUACUUCCCAUUCUAAAACCCUAAUAAUUUCCCCCCUCUUUUUUUAACAUAAAAAGAACUUUCACUUUUCAUUUAUCUUUUUUCCCAAUCAAAACAAAUACUCACCCUUAACCACCCUGUGAAAAGAGGUCUCUCUGAAUUUUUUUUUUGUAUAUACAUGUGUGUGCUUGUGUGUGAGUUUAUUUUUCUUCUUCUUAUGUCAGAACUACGAGUUUUAGUUGUUUGGCCUGUUUAAACUUCUGGAUUUUUUUAAAGGUUAUCUUCUUUGUUUAUUGAUUCAUAUUCCGAGUUGACAGAAAUUAAUAUUUUUGAAGUAAAAGUAAUUCGUUUCAGCUUGAAUCGUGAAAUUCUCUUCUGGAGUUGAUUUGUAUUCACGAAAGUUUAUCUGUGGACUUUACGUUAUUUAUAUAUGGUCGAUAAUUUAGAACUUUAAUUUCUAAGUAACUUUUAUCGUGUUUGAUUUGUACAAAGCCUCGGCGGCUUUUUUUAUGUGCUUUGUUUUUGCUCCUAUUUUUUUACUUCCCCUCGAUUGCGUAAUUAUCUAAUAAUACCAUUCAAUUGUUUAUUUUUAUUGCUAUCUGAUAUUUACAGUUGUUUUAAAGUAAUGAUUGAACCCUGAUUUUGUUGUCUCUUUUUUAGUUCAAUUUUAUGCAACAUCGAGCAGAAAAGUUUUUGCUCCUCUCUUUCACUAAAAUUUGUUUUAAGCUUCACAAAUUGACCGUGAAAUUAUGCAUUGGAAACCGUUUUAUUACUGAAGAAGUCUAAACUGCGAUGUAUACACAUAUUUAUAUUUAUGUUUUGCUUACCAUGUUUUCACAGGAGCCAUGAAUAUUAAUGUUGGAGACAAUAAAAUGGAACUGAAUGGGAGGGAUGAUCUUAAGAGGCCUUUGCUGGAGCCCUCAGAUAGUGUUUGCGUAACUAUACCUGAACCUGUUGAUAAGUUGGAAAAGAAGAGAACAGUGAUGUUCAAAAUAGGGAAUAUCAAGUGUGCAUCUUGUGUGACUUCCAUAGAAUCUGUGCUUGGAGAGAUCAACGGUGUUGAGAGUGUAUCAGUGUCACCGAUUCAUGGCCACGCGGCAAUUGAGUAUGUUCCAAAGCUCGUCAAUGUAAGUUUUAAGAAAUUGAUUGAAUCUUUAUACUUAUAAUGUGGAGAAUGAUUUAUGGUCACUACUCACAAUAGACUACUUUGGCAACUUGGUUAUUCUAACUACCCAUACUGCCACCAUGAUGGCACCAUGGUCAAGCGUAUAAAAUUUAUUCAGUGCAAGUGUAGUGCUAAAUCUUUGGUUCUUAAACCAUGUUUCUCUUAUAGGCUUCAACACUUUGUGGAGAUCUUAAUCUGUGGGUUUAUCUUCAUGAAUUUAAUUUGUCUUUUGGUAUUUCUUUGUGGUUUUCCUCAUAAUUAGUUUAUAUCUUUCUAUUGUUGGUAACUCAAAAGAACUUGUUUGUAUUUUAUUUUAGCCAAAAUUAAUUAAAGAGACAAUAGAGGAUGCUGGUUUCCCUGUUAAGGAGUUUUCAGAGCAACAGAUAGCAGUCUGCCGGCUCAGGAUUAAGGGAAUGGCAUGUACAAGUUGUUCCGAAUCCCUUGAACGUGCUCUAAAGUUCCUUGAUGGAGUUAAAAAGGCAGUUGUUGGUCUAGCUCUUGAAGAAGCUAAGGUUCACUUUGAUCCCAAUAUUACUGAUUCUGAUCGCAUCAUUGAAGCAAUAGAAGAUGCUGGCUUUGGCGCUGAUCUCAUUAGUUCUGGAAAUGAAGCAAACAAAGUACAUUUGAAACUUGAAGGAGUGUCAUCAGUGGAGGAUAUGAAUACUAUUAAGUCCUACCUUGAGUCAGCCAUAGGUGUAAAUCAUGUCGAGAUGGACUUGGAGGAAAAAAGGGCCACUGUCAACUAUGACCCAGACUUUACUGGUCCAAGAUCCAUUAUUGAAGCUGUACAAGAAGUUGCUCAUGGAUCAUACAAGGCAAGCUUGUAUAUACCUCCUAGACAAAGAGAAACUGAGCAGCACCAUGAAAUUAAUAACUAUAGGAAUCAGUUCCUUUUAAGCUGCCUGUUCUCAGUUCCUCUGUUCAUAUUCUCCAUGGUGCUUCCAAUGCUUCCUCCUUUUGGUGAUUGGUUAGAGUACAAGAUCUACAACAUGUUUACUGUCGGAUUGCUUCUGCGAUGGGUUCUUUGCACACCAGUACAGUUCAUUGUUGGCCGAAGGUAAUGAGUUGGUAGUUAUUUUCCAUGUAGAAUAUUAGCUACUUUUAUUUUUUUGGGGUCAAAGAUUCAGCAUUUCCAUUCCUCAGGAGAGGCAUAUACUAAUUGUGACCAGUUCUUGCAGCGUAACCAUUCUGUCUUUUGAUGUCUCUAUCAGGUUUUAUAAAGGAUCAUACCACGCAUUGAGACUGAAAUCUGCUAAUAUGGAUGUUUUAGUAGCCAUGGGCACCAAUGCUGCAUACUUUUACUCUGUUUAUGUAGCAAUUAAGUCUCUGAGCUCUGACACAUUUAAAGGACAAGAUUUUUUUGAGACAAGUGCAAUGCUGAUAUCCUUUAUUCUCUUAGGAAAAUAUUUAGAGGUGUUGGCUAAAGGGAAAACAUCAGAUGCUUUAGCCAAGCUGACAGACCUUGCUCCUGAUAGUGCAUGUUUGCUGAUAUUAGAUGAUGAUGGAAAUGUUGUCUCAGAGGUGGCAAUCAGCACCCAACUAAUACAAAGGAACGACAUAAUCAAGAUCAUUCCUGGCGAGAAAGUUCCUGUUGAUGGCAUUGUCAUUGAUGGUCAAAGCUAUGUGAAUGAGAGUAUGAUCACAGGGGAGGCACAACCUAUUGCUAAAAAGCCUGGUGACAAGGUACUCUUUUCCUGCCUUUUUUAUUUUGUUUGUUAAGGUAUGCCUGACUUUAUUAAAUGUUGAAUUCUUUUAAUUCAAUUGCUAUGAGCAGGUUAUUGGUGGAACUAUGAAUGAGAAUGGAUGUUUACUGGUCAAGGCUACUCAUGUUGGGUCAGAGACUGCGCUUUCCCAAAUUGUUCAGCUUGUUGAAGCUGCUCAGCUCGCCAGAGCACCUAUUCAGAAAAUUGCUGACCGGAUUUCUCGGUUUUUUGUUCCUGCAGUAACUUCCUUUUUCCUUGCCCAAAAUUUUGUUUAUACCAUUUUUAUUGCUUUUUCUUAAAACUCAUGGGUAUAAUUUCUUUUUCUUGAUUUUUCUUUAGUUGAAAGGCUUCUUUGCUUCUUGUUAACUUUUUGAAAUAUUUAAAAACUUUCAAACUAUUAUCAUUAAUUUGGAAUGUAUCAAAUAGCUCUAAUCAUCCAUACCUCAGGUUGUCAGCUGGAGGUUGGAUUCCCUGAACUCUAUAACAUGAUUCUUUCUGUUUUUGGUUUAGAUCUUUUUCACUAUAAUUGUAGACAAUGGACUUGUUUGUUGGCUGGUUUAUUCAUUUGAACCUUUAAUUGAUCUUCUAGGUUAAGCCAAAGUUCUAAACCAUAUAUUGUGCAGAAGUAAAAAAACAAAAUCAAAGAGAGAGAGACUGAUUUAUGGAUGAUCUUAUUUAUGAUAACUUAUUUUGUGUAUGACGCACAGCUGCACUCAUACUGCUUGCAAAGAGGCCAACAUGGCAAAAUGAAUAUGGCUGGAAACAUCACUGAUAAACAAAGAACAUCUUUUUCUUACUUUCAACACAUUUUUGCUUUUUCCGUGGAAAACAGAUUAUUUUUUAUUGAAUGACUAUUGAUAACUAAUAUUUCCUACUGUUUUUAAUAGUUUAGGCUUACAAGUUGUGCUGUGUAUGUGGUUUUUGUUUUACUUUGCACUUUCUCUUAAUCUAUUUGCAUUAAUGAAGAGUGUAGAACUUGAGCAUCAUGCUGGGCUUUAUGUAACUAAUUAUUCCUUUUGUUACAUAAUGCAUCUCUAUGCAAAUUUCUAACAGAAUGUAUAAAUUUUUUUGGUCCAAUAUCAGAUUGUUCUCACUGCAUUUAUCACUUGGUUGGGAUGGCUGAUCCCUGGGGUUAUUGGUAUUUACCCUAAACAUUGGAUCCCGAAAGGCAUGGAUAAAUUUGAACUUGCACUCCAGUUUGGUAUUUCAGUGUUGGUGGUUGCUUGCCCAUGUGCUCUAGGACUAGCAACCCCUACAGCUGUCAUGGUUGCCACAGGGAAGGGUGCUUCACUUGGUGUGCUGAUUAAGGGUGGAAAUGCCCUUGAGAAGGCACAUAAGGUAUAACCAUUUUGUGUUUAGAAAAACCUAGAACAGGUUAAGGUUGAAUUUGGGUUGAUAACUUAGUAUGUAUGAGUUUACAAUCAUAAUUGAGCAUUAUUAGCAACUUUCUCUGUCCUGAAAAAUUUGUCGAUUGAUAAUUAUACUCGGUUCUCGGUUCGGAAUUGUGUGAACAAAAAACACAACUCAUUGCCAUUAUCAGAUUUGCCGACCUUUUAGUUAUAGUUUUAAGUAGUAGUCAUUUUUGGAAGUUAUCUACUAUGGGUUCAUUCUAAAAUAAUUGUUUUUGCCUAGGAAAAUAUUAACUUUUAUCUAUCAAACUGCAUAUCAACUAACAUUUUAUAAAAAUGUGGAUUUCUUUAAAAAGGGCAUCACCCUUUGAUUUUAUAUUUCAUGGUUGUUGCUUGUAGUGGAAGGUCACUUCUUCAUUUCAGAUAACCAGAAUAUCAGCUUUGAUACACUUUUGUCAGUGUCAUUUAUAAUUUUAUAACAAUAUAACAGAUGUCUUGUUCAGAAGUGUUGUUUAUUGCCUUACCUUUAUGAGUCCUUUAACAACAAAACAAUGCAUUGGCCAAUAUAUACACACAGUAAUACAAGGUGAACCUAGGUCUCGGAAGUUGGAUAGAUUUAAUGUAACGAGUUCCCUUGCAGAUGACUGUUGCAACCUGAACUACCUGCUCUCUUUAUCCUGUAGGUGAAAGCAAUUGUGUUUGAUAAGACGGGGACAUUGACAGUUGGGAAACCUGAGGUUGUAAAUGUUAUGCUCUUUUCAAGCGUGUCAAUGGAAGACUUCUGCGAUGUUGCUAUUGCUGCUGAGGUACAUGCCUAGCUUUUUGUACUCUCCUGAUUCUAUUUAGUGAAGUUGCUAGGGAACAAAUAUAGAAAAGCUUCGUGAGAAAUUUGGAUAGCUCUAAUUUUACAACUAUAUCUGAAUUUUGUUACUUUUGGUUUUUGGGGAGUGGAAAUAUUAAACCAAAGCUUAUUUUGAAAGAAGAUGCAAUUCUAUAUAUUAGAUUUACCCAAAGUUGAUAUCCUUUUUUCCUUUUUAGAGCUAUGGCAUCUUGAAUGGUGCAAAAUGCCAUUGAAUGACUUAAGCUAGUUAACCCAAACUUUUAUCUGUUUAUUGCAAUCGAUUCAAACAUCUGUUUUCAUCUAAUUGAUUCCUCGAUGACCGUUAACCAUUUUCCAUCCAAUCAGAAAUGGCUUCAGUUUAUUGCAAUAAAAUAGUAGGGGUUUGGAUGGUUUUCUUAAUUUUAAUUUUAGGGGCUUUUUUUACAUUUAAGCCUUAAAAUUUCAGGCAAAUAGUCAACAUCCAAUAGCCAAAGCUUUCCUGGAGCAUGCUAGAAAAUUGCGUCAGAAGAUAGAAUCUAACAGGCAAUCCAAUAAUCAACAUGUCACAGAGGCAAAGGACUUUGAGGUGCACCCUGGCACUGGGGUGAGCGGAAAAGUUGGUGACAAAAUGGUCUUAGUUGGGAACAAGAGGCUUAUGCAGACUUAUAAUGUCACAGUUGGUCCUGAGAUUGAGGGCUACAUUUCAGAACAUGAGCAACAGGCUCGAACAUGUGUCUUAGUUUCCAUUGAUGGAAAAAUUGCUGGAGCUUUUGCAGUAACUGAUCCAGUGAAGCCGGAAGCUAAGAAUGUCAUAUUGUAUCUUCAUUCAAUGGGGAUCUCAAGCAUAAUGGUAACUGGUGAUAACUGGGCUACUGCAACUGCCAUAGCCAAAGAGGUUGGAAUAGAGAAGGUAAUUGCCGAGAUGGAUCCAAUAGGAAAAGCUGAUAGGAUCAAAGAUUUGCAGGUAAGCUUCUUUUCUUUUUCCUUUCACUUUCCUUGUCUUUCUUUAUUUUAUGGCUUUAUUCUCAAAAACGCAUUAUGAAAGGCUAUUCAUAGGGUGAAAAAGUUGUGAAAUUCUGGUCGUUAGAAAGUGACAAUUAGAUUUAUUAUAUGCCUAUGAAUAAUAAUUUGCUGAGGCAUGGUGGUAUUCUAGUAAAUUUUCAAUAAAUAAAUUGGAUGAACGGUAGGGGUGAGAACGAGAGCUUGAUAUUCAGUACAUAACAUCUGAUCAUUAUUUACCUUAAAUAUGGAACGCAGAUGAGAGGUUUGACGGUUGCUAUGGUGGGAGAUGGAAUAAAUGACUCACCUGCUUUGGUGGCAGCGGAUGUAGGCAUGGCAAUUGGUGCUGGUACUGAUGUAGCCAUAGAAGCAGCUGACAUAGUUCUUAUCAAAAGCAACUUGGAAGAUGUAGUUACUGCAAUAGAUCUGUCGAGAAAGACCAUUUCCCGCAUUUGGCUUAACUAUGUGUGGGCCCUUGGUUACAACAUUCUGGGCGUGCCAGUUGCUGCUGGAAUCUUAUAUCCCUUCACAGGAGUUAGGUUACCACCUUGGCUAGCUGGUGCAUGCAUGGCCGCCUCCUCUCUUAGUGUUGUUUGUUCUUCUCUGUUGUUGCAGUCUUAUAGGAAGUCUUGGGUGUUUCAAGAUACAAAAAGCGGACAUAGCCAUUGCUCCAAAUCCACAUGAUGGGACAUUCUCCGGUAUUUCCAUAUUCAACUGCAUAUUAUCAGUUAUUAACAUGGAAAUGUAGAAGGUCCUUCAAUUACAUUUCUUGUAUAACUAAAAUUGUCAAGUCUUGUCAGUUUGGGAUUAUUGGAUGGGUCAUUUCCAAUGAAGUGAUUGGCAUACAUACAUGAAAAAUUAUGGAAAUAUAAAGGUCUAUAUAUUGGAUGGGCACUGUAGCUUUCUAAUGUUUCAAUAGUCACAAAUGUAUGUGGCGUUUCAAGUUCUAAGCAUUUCAUCCAAUUUCGAGAACCAUUGUAGAUUUGUCUCUUCAUCGGUAUCACUUGAAAGUGUUUUAGCAAGUUAAGAAGAAUGAGCUAAGAAAAAGAAACACAAUUAAAUUUUUUAGUAGAUAUGAAAUUAAGUAGACAUGUCGAUGAUGGGUCCCAUUAUAAAGCCAUUCCCCCCCCCCCAAAUUCAUCUUCCAGUGCUUGUUAGUUUUUUCCAUUGAAGUUCAUAAUUAAAAUUAUAUAUAUUUUAACAAAAAAGAAAAAAAUGGUUAAAAUAUAUUGUUUUUUCUUGUAUAUUUACAAUUUGAGAUUUAGUUGUUAUACGUAAAAAGUUGAGAGUUAAGUCUUCCAACUUAUUUUUUUUUAUAAAUUCCAGUCAAAUUAUACCAAUUGUAGGUAUUUUUCAUCAAAAUUUAUCAAUUUAGCAUGUUAAUUAAGUUGUCCUCGUGAUAGGGCGUAUGAUUGAUGUAAAUUAAACAAGUAAACAAAUUUUAGCGGAAACUAUAAACGAAAUUGAUGAUUGAACUAGGGUUUUAAAAUUGGGAAAAUAAUAAGAGAAGAUGGACUAAAUCUUAAAUUCUGUAAAAGUAUAGGGACUGAUAUCAUAUUUUAACUAAAUAAAAUGCGCAUACAAUCUACCGUUAUUGAUAUUUCUUCCUCAAAUGGAAGACAACAGCUUUUGAUUCCUAGUAAAGAAGCAAACAAAACAGCAGCAUGUAAAAGUUAGGCUACUGGUAUUGCUUUACUGGGUUAGGGCGGGUUCAUUAUUUUUUGGCGUGGGGGUAUCUGCUAACAUUACCUAAUCUGUAAUCACCCAUAUUUCAAUCUAACAUACAGAAUAUCUUAUAAAAAUAACAUAAUGCAACAAUUAUCUACACACAUUACCUAUCCUAUAAAAAUAACUCAUGCAAUUCAUUUAUUUAUAAUAUAUUAGAUUUAUUAUUUAUAAAAGUAUAUAUUAUGAAAUAUAAACUUACUUAUUAUAUAAAUAAUCAAAAUUUGCUAUUUCAGUUCUAUAAAAAAUGGUUAUUUAAACUGAAGUAAUGUGGUUUUUCUUUUUCUUUUUUUCAAUAAUUUAAAUAUCUAAAAUUUAAUUUUAAUUUAUUACAUAAAUUCAUUUAAUAAAAAUAAUAAUAUAAUCAAGAUCAGAACUCAUCCUUUUAUUUUAUUUGAAAAAAGAAUACAUAUUUGAUGAUAAAUUAGAAGAUAAUUUUCAGGUGUAUGAGUAUGAAGUAUCAAUCAAAAUCGAGUAAUAAUUUCAUGUUCCUUCCCCAUGCAAUGGGAACUAUCCAUUCAUAAUAUAUACAAUAUAUUAUUCCGCAUUUGGAGGUUGGAUAAGUUUUUUAUUCCUUUUCAUUAUUUUCUAGGUUUUUUUUCCCUAGGGAAACUGCUAGGUUUUCUGUGCCAAUUACAUAAUUUAUAUGUGAGGUGUGAUUGCUUUGAGUGAUAACUGUUUUUCUGGUUUUAUGGGCAUGCUUUCAUUUCGGCUUACAUUCUGCUAUUGCUCUUGUAUUUUUAACUCCUCUUUCUUCUUCUUAUAAACCCCCAUUUCUGCCCUCUUUUACUUGUCUCCCUCUUUAAUUUCUUUUCUUUCUUUUGCCUUCUUUAUAUCUCUUUCAUUUUUUCUUUUGCUCGUUUCGUUGCAUAUUUUUUUUACAGGUCAGUCAGUACUAUUUAGUCUUAAAUACAUCUUUUUCUCUGCAUAAUGUAUUUGUUUUUAUUUUUAUUUUUUAUUUUUAUGAUUUCUAUUGUGUAUGUCUUUCAAAGAAAAUGCAAUUUUCAAUGAAAGCUGUAUAUGAUAAUAAUUCGUAUUAUUUAGAUUUAAUAUAUUUGUAUAUUCUUGUUUUUUUUUUCUUUUGUGUGUGUAAUGUAUGUUUUGAAUUACUUUUUAUACUAUGUUUAUAUUGUGUAAUCCUGAAUAAUAUUACUGGACGUGAUAUUUUGGCAAUUGGUUUGAUUUGAACUGAAUCAUUGCAGACCAUGUUCUUUUUGGCGCCUUUGGUUCACGGUAACAGCUGACCUUAAACCAGUCAUUAGAAAGAUCUUUUCUUUCUAUGUCCCAAUGAAUCAUUUUACUAUAUUACUAACAUGAAAUCUCACAGAUUAAACAUUGAUCUCAUCAAAAAGAUUAACUUGAUUUUCCUCCCCUCAAAUCAUUUCCUUACUAAAUGUUUCUUCUCAACAUAACCUACAUUGGCAUUGUGUAAAAUUAGUCUUUGAUACUAAGAGGGAUCUUUUUGGUUUUUAGAUAGUGCAACCAUGGAAAAUGAAGCUUAUUCACAAGAAAAGCCUCUACCUUGUGAUCUGGGGGACAAUUUUUCAUUUGUUUCAAUUUCAACUAGUUUUUAUUCUCUUUCACUCUGUCAACAUGGGUUCUUGUUUAUAAUCGUAUAGGGCCAUAUAUCGUUAACGUUGUCAUCUUUUCCAAGUUUUGUUCUUUACCAACUCAUUGUAUUCAUAAUAUUUGGGUUCCUGAUUAGGUUGUUUAUUGGAGAAAUGAUGGCUGAUAGGCACCAACAUCCUUCUGUCAUGCUAAAGAUUGCUGGACAACUCCAUCUUGGUUCCAGCCUUUCUCAAGAUGUUCGAUAUCGGUAUGGAGGAUUCCAAAGGCCUGCUGUACAUCAGAAGCGUUUUGCAUCUGCAAGUUGCAAUGCAACACUACAGCAUCCCAUGACUCAGCUGGCAUGCCACCCAGUAAGUUAUAAUCUCUCAUUGUUUGGAUCGAGUUCAUCACCUGUAUGUGCCCAGGCUCCAUCAGAGAAAGGUAUUUCCGGUUUCGUUAUCGAUUUCCUCAUGGGUGGAGUUUCUGCUGCUGUGUCCAAAACUGCUGCUGCUCCUAUUGAACGUGUCAAGCUCUUAAUCCAAAACCAGGAUGAGAUGAUUAGAGCCGGUCGCCUCUCCGAACCUUACACUGGUAUUGGUAAUUGCUUUAAAAGAACAAUAGCAGAUGAAGGCAUGAUGUCUUUGUGGAGAGGAAAUACAGCUAAUGUGAUCCGUUAUUUCCCGACUCAGGUUCUUAACGUCUUCACAGAAACCCCCUUAUCUUCAUUACAAUUUAGAAUUUAGAUCUGCCUGCUCACUUACAUUCUCUGAUUCUGCGUUUACAGGCCUUGAACUUUGCCUUCAAGGAUUACUUUAAAAAACUGUUCAACUUUAAGAAGGACCGUGAUGGCUACUGGAAGUGGUUUGCUGGGAACUUAGCAUCUGGUGGUGCAGCUGGUGCCUCUUCCCUUCUCUUUGUCUAUUCCCUGGAUUAUGCUCGGACUCGUCUGGCUAACGAUGCCAAAGCCGCAAAGACAGGAGGGGAGAGGCAAUUCAAUGGCUUGGUUGAUGUAUACACCAAGACUCUCAAAUCAGAUGGUAUUGCUGGCCUCUACAGAGGUUUCAACAUUUCAUGUGUUGGUAUCAUUGUGUACCGGGGCCUGUACUUCGGAAUGUAUGAUUCUCUAAAGCCGGUUAUCCUUGUUGGAAAGUUGCAGGUUAGUAGAAUUUUUUUGUCUUUCUUUUGCAUCAAGUAACAUUCGUACUAAAGGAUUACACUCACACCUGCAUUAUCUUAUAUUUUGGAUAAUAUCAGGAUAGCUUCUUUGCUAGCUUUGCUCUUGGUUGGGUUAUUACAAAUGGAGCAGGUCUUGCCUCCUAUCCCAUCGACACUGUCCGCAGAAGAAUGAUGAUGACAUCGGGUGAAGCCGUGAAGUACAAGAGCUCGAUGGAUGCGUUCUCGCAAAUUCUUAAGAAGGAGGGCUUUAAGUCACUGUUUAAGGGAGCUGGUGCCAACAUCCUGCGUGCGGUUGCUGGUGCGGGUGUGCUUGCAGGCUAUGAUAAGCUCCAAAUGAUUGUUUUCGGAAAGAAGUAUGGUUCUGGUGGGGCAUAAUCAUAUGGCAACUACAGAUGGGUCAUCAAAUUCAUUUGCAAUGUUAUUUAUUACAUUCCAGAUUUUGCCUUGCUUACCGCAAAUAUUAUUUUUAUUCUCAUUUUGAAUAACUUAGUUUAGAGAGGUUGUCUCGUCUCCUAGAAGAACAUUAGUCCUCUCAUGGGAGGAAUAUUUUUACCCUGAUUGCAACCGUACACUACACUACUUUUUGAAAUUAUGUAUUGUCCUUUAUAUCUUAGGAAAUUCCAAGGAUAUAUACUUAAUUAUUACUUUGUUUUUCAUCUUUUUCUUUUAAUCAUUACCGUAUAAAUAGUUAUAAUCACAAUCAAUCGUUACACAUACAUACAUACAUACAUACAUACAUACAUACAUACAUACAUACAUACAUACAUACAUGAUACUUAAUUUAAUAUGUAAACUAACAAUCUGUAUGCUCUCAAACUAUAGUUGUUUUAUACUUUCAAACUAAUAUUCAUUUCAAGCUGAAAGAUAAACUUAUUAUUGCAGUUUCUUUUUACAUUAUCUGUCUAAAUUUGAAGGGCUAGCAGACAGAUUCAAGUUACUACUCUCCUUAUAUAAUGUUCUUUAGUGUCUAAACUUUCCCAGGCUUGAAGUCUUACUAGGAAUUAUUUUAACGUUCAUUGUUUAAAAAGUGUGAUUAAAAUUAUUUGUUCCUUUGCAAAAUCUUAUAAGUUUUCAAAAUAUUUACUCUGGUAAACAGUAAAUAUUAAUUUUAUUGAAAUUUAGAUUUAUUUAAUUUUUUUUAAUAGUACAAAAACUAAAAUGAUAGAAAUUAAUUUUAUCCGGUCACCUGCGAGGUAUUUUCUCCAUUUUUAUACGGGUGCCACAAAUGUCUUGAACUGUGAUAAAAACAUCGACGGCUGCAUGCUGUUAGGGAAGAGGCAAUUGGUUGACUCCAUUACAAGUUGGGUCUAACUGGAUGCAGAGUUGUUGGAUUAUCUAUUCUUAACCAAUGAUCAUUCUAAUAAUAUGAUGGGAAAAAGUUAGACAAUUUUUCGAGGAUGAGCAAUGAGUCAUGAUAAUCAUUCUUUUCACCGUUGUGCUUAUUGGGUUCAUCACAGAGCAUGCAUGCAUUUGAAAUAAUUGGGGGGAAACAAUAACCAAAAACUAUAAUGUGGUUUUAUUUUUUCAAAAUUUCCAUCAUAACAGUUGGACAACAUGUUGGACUGGUGGCUAUAAACCAAGGUUGUUGAUGUUGUGUUCAAAGAAAGGGAGACAAAGCAUCCUAGAAGAAGCAUGGCUCAGAGUAGUAAUCAAGCUGUGCCUACAUGUUGUUAAACUGUAUCUAUAUACAGUGAAGGCAGGUGCAAUGUAUAUGUUCAUCAAUAUUUAUGUCUAAGUUGUUUUGCAUCUAAAUUUGUCUUUCCGCAGUUUCUACAAACCCUGCAAAAAUAAGCUCUUACUCUCUCAGUAGUCUUUAUUCUGGUGCAUGUUGGUGCAAUCUUGCUGUACAUAUUGUUAGGACUUAUCAAAAUUGCCUUGCUGUAUGCUUACAGUAGCUAAAUUGAGUAUAUAUCCGUCUACCAUCUUCUUUAUCUUGUUCGGAUACUGGACACAUUUUUGGACCCUAUAUAGGAAAUAAUGCACUGCAGUCCAUCAAUGGAAUAAAGUGAUGUUGGAAAUGAUUGAAAAGCCAAAUUUCAUUCCCCUGCUGACGCAUAAAGCUGUUUAACAUGACUAGGCCACUGGAAAUAACUCAGAGUUGAGGGAUGCUUACUUUUUUUGCUGCAAGAAAAAUGAUAGAAUUGACACUAAUUUCCAUCUUCCUGUUUAUGGUCCCUUAAGAAAACUUCAAGCCUAGGCUACUAGGACUCUUCAUUUCUUUCUAAAAGUAUCCUUAUUUGACAAUGUAGAUAAUGUAAAUGGAAGGAGAUAAAAGAAAUUCUAGAUAAAGUUAACAUGUGAUUGAUGGGUUUGGUGUUAAGACUUUAGAGAUUCGGUUUACACAAAGUGUAGAGACAAAAGGAAUGUAGGAAUAUAAUGAUUCGCAGUCCUUGCUUGCAAGCUAGGUUUGGUUUUGUUUUGUUUUGUUUUGUUUUGUUUUGUUCUGUUGGGUUUUUCCAUUCACACAUACACUCCACUCUCUGUCUGACUCAUAAUUCAUUGUUUGCUUUCUCUGCCAUCUCUCUCUCCCACAUGCCUUACAGCUUUUGCUUUGUGUAUCAUGGAAUGACAGUGAUUAACAUCACCCUAUUGGUUUUAGUAGAUUGUAUAUAGUCCAACCUGCGAAAAAAGUUAUUAUUAGCAUUAUUGGACCAACAAAAUUAUUGGGAUGCAGGCAGCCUGCACCGCACAACUUUUUUUCUCCCUUCUCUGGGUCUGCCUGCUUUAUCAUAUGAAUGAAGAACCUAUGUUCCAUUUGUUUCAACAGAAUGGGGAAAGCUAACCACUUGUGUACAUAUAUUUCUGAAGAGGAGUAAUAAAUUUCUUUUCAUGGAAUGAACCAGGUUAAAAGGUCACGUUAGUUCAUCUAACACCAUUUAGCACGAUUUCUUAGUUAGGUAAUCAAACUCAACUUCUCCUUUUGUUUCAUGUUUAUUCCAAACUACCCAAGUCAAAUAUUUUAUGUCGAGUAAAAGAAAUUUUAAGAACAAAGGAGGCAAGCCCCCCUGUUUGUCUCCAAAGAUAAAGGAUGAAAAACUUGUUAAUUAUAAUUAAUUUAGAAUUCACAAGUUUUCUACCUUUCUCCAUUGGGAUACCAAAUAAAGUCUUAAAAAGUAUGAAACCAGUCAUUUAUGAGCCAAGUAUUUAACGUUUAACCACGUUACUUUCCCUAGUGCAGAAAACAAAACACCCAUAUGUUUCAAACUGGAUUUUAGGGUAUACCUUAAGCUACCCAAACUAGCUCAAUUUCAUAUUUUUACUCUUUCUUUAUUAGUACAUUACUUUCAUUAAAAAGUCUUUUUUUUUCUCUCUCUCUCACAACUUUUUAGUAAGAAAUGUCUAUAAAUUAAUUAAAGGACAUAAAGAUGGAAAAAGAAGAUAGAACUAUAUAUGGUGAAGUGUUGAGUAAAUGAUAAAAAUCAUCUGUAAAAAAGAAAAAGAGAACCCUUAUCUUUUGCAGCACAUGGUAGGGAAGCUGAUAAUAAUAAUAAUUAAGUAAUUAAUUAAUUAAUCUCCACUCCCUGCAUUGCAUGUCCUAGGAAUGAUUUUGAUUGCUGAAAUCUUGAUUCACAAGUUUGGUUUGAAUUCUUUUGUUUUGCUUGCAAUUGCCGGCCAACAACAAUGUAGGUCCCUGCCAUUGAAGUAAAUUCCAAAAAGUCCUCAUUCAUUUUAUUCCUUUUAUGUUGUGUUUUUAAAUAAUUAAAAAACUGUCUUUGGCUCUAUUAUUUGGUUAUAUUUAUGAAAACAUAUUAUAUCCUAACUCACUUCUUCUUAUAUGGGUAACACUGUCAAUGCCAACCAAGUUUAGUCUUAGUUAACAUCGAUUUUUAAUGUUUCAUUUUUAUUUUCUAUAACAAUUUUCAUUUAUAAUAUUAAUAACCAUAAAAUAUAAAAUAUACUAUUUACUCAAUUAGCUUUCUACAAGUAAAAUUAAUUCUGUUGCUAAUGGAAAUAAAAUAAAAAUAUCAAUUAAGAUGUUAUUUAAAUAAAAUGUUUAAAUUUUAUAUAUAAACAUACUAAUAAUAUUUUAUUAAAUAAAAUUAUAUAUGUUAAUUCUAUUAUCUAUAUAUCUGACUGUUUAAUAUUAUUGAUAUAUUAUAAUUUUUUAUUUUAAAAUUUAAAAAAAUUCAAAUAUUAUUGAAAUUCCGUGUUUCAAAUAUUGUUAUAGAUGUAUAACAAUCAUUUCUGUAUAAUAUUUAAAAUUUUGAGGGACAAAUGAUAUUAUUAUAAAAGAAAAAGUUGAUUGUAUCACCAUUGACGUGGAAUUUUACUGCAACUCAUCUAUUCUGGGGUACAAUUACUUUUUUUUUCUUGAAUUAACUAGGAUUAUCAUCAAAAGCAAGCUGUUUAAAGAAAAGGAUUAAAAGGCAAAACAUGUGUUAUGAAAUCCGUGAAUACAAAAAAGUUUUCGUGGGGUCUAUUUUGUAAAUUGCACUGUAAUAAAUAUUGGGAUUUGCUUCCACGUAUUUAUAACAUUAGGUUUCGGUGUUAAUAACAGCAUUUUUGGUUUUGUUUCAACAUGACGGAAUUUUUUUAAUUAUCAAUAUAAUUAUGACUUAAAAAACAUGUUAACUGCGAUCGUGUAUGCACGUUAGACUUUGGUUAUUCCUUCAAUUUGAUUCCUUAAUUAUUUUUUAUUCCAUUAGUAUAAACUUUGAUAAAGGGUUUGAAAAAAUUCAAAGGUUGAUGGGAGAGCUGACUGGUGAACAAAUCUGUUGCCAGUUGUGCCUACUCACCAUCCCUAACGAUAAUUUUUGUUUAGGAAAAUGUUAACCAGUGAUUAGAGAGUUGUUAAGAUGAUAUUUAAAGGAUUAUAAAUGCCCGUAACUCAAAUGUUUAAUUUUUUGUAUAAAAGGUGUUUAAAGUAAAAAUGGAAGAUGUCUGCUCCAUAUAAUCUACAAAAGCGAAUUAUUUAUUUUUGAAACUUUUUAAACCAGCUUCAACUAUAUUUUCGUUUGGUUGACCUUCUCACCUUUUCCCAAUUGAUCAGCUGCCGCUGCGGUUGGUUUCUUAGCAUUUUCAAGAGGUUUCCCUUCUGUUAGAGAGUGCCCAUUCUCCUCUAGUUGACCAACUUUAUCAAACAUAUUACACUAAAAUAAAAUUAUUAUGCUCGUAUUCUCGGAUCGCAUACUAUAUUCGUGUUUUUAUUUGGUGAACCUCAUAUCAAGUGAAAUAGUGAACUUUAUGUAUCAAGCAACACCAUGACAAACUCUUGGCAAGUUAUUUCCGUCAAGUGUCCUAAAAUAUCAUAUAAUCGAUUUAGAAAGUCACAUUCCCAACACUGCAAGGAGAUAAAUUAUGACUCUAUCGUCAAUAAACUCAUGACGUGAGGCCUCUAUUAUCUCCAUAUAUAAGCCCAAACGCAACAAUUGAAAGAUCAUAGAACAUACGUUAAGAGCACUUAGUGCCUUCUUCCCCAAUCAAUAUUACUCUAACCUUUUAACUCUCUUCAUCCUCGUUGAGAACAGUGACUCUUUACCUUAAUUUAGGGUAAAUCAUCCUAUAUUCUUACUUGUUGAUUCUACUGUUAACAAAAAGAAAAAAAAUUUGAAAUUUCAUAUUUUUAAAUUAACAAAUAAAUAUUAUUUUUUUAAAAAUCAACCACCUUAAAAUAAUCUCUAAUUUUUAAGUAUUUGGAACAUUUGGUUUUAUAUCUCAAUUAGAGUGUUGAUGAUUUCGAAUAGUGUAACUCUGGAUAUUUGAUAAAGAAAAACUUUGGACAUUUUUAGAUAUUUGAUCCGCAUUUUUCGAUUAAAAUAUUGCAUACUUAUUAAUUGUAGAAAUUUAGAACACAUGGUCCUAUAUUUAUUAUCAAAAUUCGUUUUAAUUUUUUAGUGGAUGCAAAUAUUAGAAUCCAUAAUUCAAAACUGAUUUAUUUUUGGAGAUAAAAUCAAUAAUCUAAAUCUAAAUUCAUUUUCUGUUUUACUCAUUAAAUUCGAAUUAUUGAAUAUUUGUUGGUUAAUAUUAUUUAAUUUAAAUUUGAAGUCAAAUAAAAAUUCUCAAAAUUUAAAAUGACAAUAUGAAUUUAUUUAUUUUUUAUAUUUAUGUGAAUUUAAAUUUCUUUAUAGUAAAUGUGGGUAAUGUGAAUUUAAAUUUAAAGUUUAGAAAAAGGGUAGAGGCGAUAUUAAAAUAGUAUAGUCUCAUCCGAUACCGCCAGACAUGUUAUCAUUUCCCAUCUAAGUUUAACGGAGUUUGCGUGUUGUUGAAACUACUGCAGAAAGGCGCCCUCCCUUAGAAUUAUAAAUGAAGCCACAUACUACUGUUAUUAAUGAAAAAAGAACAAAAAAAAAAAAAGAGACAUAAGACACAAAGAGAGGGAAGGGGAGAGAGAGAGAGUGUGUGUGUGUUGUUUGCUAAGCGGAGCUUAAAUAAAAGCAAUGAAUGUCGGCUGCCUAGUUCUUUAAUCUCUCCUCCUUAUUUCUCGAAGGAUCUCUUCUUUUAAAGAUUUAUUUAUUCCAUUUCUAUAUAUAUCAGUCUAUCUAAUUCUAUCCUUAUCCCUCUCUGGAUCCAUUCAGUCCAUUUCUAUCUCUAUCGCGAGGAGAUCUCGCAUUUCCUUAGCUGGAGAUCCGAUAAUCAUAGAAUGAGAUAGUUCGCUUUAAGUUUAGCUCUCAUUUUCUUGUUUGGUUGCCCAGAAAGUUCAGUUCAGCAUCAAAGCAACCGGAAAAGUAAGCUUUCUCAGUAGAAGAUUUAAUCAUUUAUCAGCUCUGGCUAAGCUUAAACUGUAAUUUCAUUCCCUUUCUUCCUCAUUUUCUUGCUUUUUUCUCGGUUACCAAACGGAAACUUGAUCAUUUUGUUUUAAACAUUUGUCAUGUACUUGAACAUUUGCUAAUACGUUCCACGUUUUCUUGCAGUAACUGAAUCUCAUUGUUUCAGUUAACUUGUUUUUCUAGACUCUUUAUUUAUUUUGAUAAUUCCUUCUGGAGAUUCUUAAAUUUUCUAUGUAAUUUACUCUUUACUCUUGUUUAUGAUUAUAUUCUUAUGUGAUUCUUAACACUAAAAUACCGAAAUGCACUAGCAAUUUGGUGAAAAUUUUAGGAGAUCAGGUUUUUCUAUUUAGAUUACUUUAUUAUCAUUGUCUGUUUCUAUUACUAAUUACAAAUUUUAAUUGUCUAAAUUUAUGUACGUAGAUUUAUUGGAUUUUGGAGGAUGAGUUGGGAUCCACAUAUGGAGGUUCAAUACAUCAACAGUAACUACCCUUAUAAUAGUGCUGGCAGCUUUAUCGAAUAUUUUGAAGGUCUUACUUAUCAACAUGUCAAUUUUAUUUUCGACGGUGCUUCUCAUGUCCAGGUACCGUUCAUUAUCAAUAAUUUUGUGUUUGUUUUUCAAAACAUAACAAUUUUGUUUUUGGAUGUACUCAAGUGAUUCCUUUAAUGCCUUUGUGUUUUCAAGAAUAAUCAGAUGAAAAAUAGGCCGACUUUUUGGAUGAGUUGAUUGUAAUUGAUCCAUUGAUUAGAUUAUUGCAAAUGAAUUGUUGCUAUUGGUCACAGCCAAAAAUUGAACUUCUGUCUGCAGGAGAGUGUGUACCCAUCCAUGACUUCAAGCUUUUACAAGUUUGGCCCAUCUGAUUCUGGCAGUAUUUCAUAUUAUGAUCAUCGUAAUGAUCAUAGUUACGAGGUGAAUAACCAUGAACUGUGCAUUGAUGAAUAUAGAAGGGCAUCAGAGAAUUCCUUGUCAGGGAGUAAUGAACAGACUGCAGCAAUGAAUGUGGAAUGGGAAAGAAACGCACAUGCAACUUCGCUUGAAAACUCGGUAGAUUGUAAGUUUCUCAAUUCUGUGAUUAAGGGAAUGUUUUUUUUGGGUACAAGUUUAAGGGUAUGUAACAUAAUGCUAAAAUGGUUUAUAAUGAUGCCUAUAAGGUAACAUUUAUGUUUUUGAAUUAUGCUGAGAAUUUAUGUGCAUGGCAAGAUUUAACUUGCUUUCCUUCUCAAGAUUGCUUGUUUCUAAUCAGUGUUGUGUAAUGUGGUGAAAUAUUUUUUUCCCCAGGUUUUUGAGCUUCUAUGGUGGAUUGGUCAUUAAUUAAUUAUCAAAUUGUUUGCAACUUCGUGCUUUUUCUAAAUUUUAUGAAUGGAUUAGAUGCUAUGUUUUCUAUCAAUCUAGUCUUGGCUCCCAGAAUAUUACCCAGCAUCUCUGUUUUGAUGGAUUUUAAACUUUAGAUCUUACUUGAUUGAAGAGAAAUUAAGGAUUCAGCGAGCUUCAUGAUGAAGUUGUGUUUAUACCCCGUUUGGUCCCCAGAUAAAAGGCCCAGUUUAGCAGCUACAAAAUUUUCAAAGCUAUCCUAAGAAUCUUUUGUCUUGAUGAUAGUUUUUUGGCUUUUUUCCAAGAUCGACUUACUAGACUUGUUUGUCUUUCUUCCUUUCUUUUUUAUCAUGAAGUAAAAUGCAAUCUCUUUAUCUGUAUAACUGUUUCUGGUCAUAAAGUUACCACCAAAACUGGUAAUACAAUGAUAACUGAGACUUUUUAAUUGCAGUACGAGUAGACUGGUUUUCUGGUUUCUCCACCUCCUGCAAAAUGAUUCUUCGGGAUCCUUUUUUCUUAUUUUUUUCCUACCUGGAGGAUUUUUUCAGUUCAGCUUCUACGUUUGAUUGUGCUUAUUCCUUCUAGCUCUUCUUGGUGUGAACCACUUAAAUGCCAAUACCACCACUAGAACACCAUCACUGUUGAGAUCAAAUCACCUGCAGCACUGAGAAACCACCACUAAGAGUAGACCUAGCCCUCUGUGUAUCAUUGUCGUGUCAGUGUAUUGUCAAAUGUCAUAGUUGUGAUUCUAAAGCAAUGUAUAUUCUGAUAUGUUAAUAAUUUGUAUUCUAUAGAUUUUGACAUGCUUACGAGUUUGUGUUAUUUUUUUCAUAUUGAGUUCUAUGUUGUGUUUUAGUUUGUUUUUCUCUGUCAUGCAAUCAUAUUGUGUCCAUGGUUGCCAUGUCUAACUAAGAACUAGGUCCACUGCCAGUCAAGUGGUUAAGGUUUCAUGUAUUCUCAAGCAAAUUCCUUGCCUUCAUUCCCAACCAAGAGAUAAUUACUUUGCCCCAUAUAGCAGCACUGAUCUUGACUGGGGUCUGAUGUAGAAAAAUUGAGUUGAUUGGCUUGAAUUUCUCAAGCUUCAUCCAUUUUUAGCUCGUUUGCUAAAUAUUGCACCUUUAAUUUUGAGCUUUUGUUGCAAACCGUGUGCAAAUACCUCUAACUCUAAGUUUGGAAUGGCAUGGCCCUUUUGCUAGCCUAGCUAACUUGUCACAUCAGUAGAAACUACUACUUAUGAGUAUGCUUUCCCGCUGAUAUGUGCAGAGUUGUUUAAGAAAAUUGAUUGACUAGUAUAAAAGUUGUGUGGCUUACCUGAACUAUGAGAAGCCUUGUUAACUUACACUUUCUAAUUACGUAAAUGAAUCACUAAUUCUCACUAUCAUUUGGUAGGUGGCACCUUAGUCUUAUAACGAUAGCUAUCUAUAUUUUUUUGAAAAAGUUUCCUGAUUCCAAUGCUUUCUUUCACUUUUAGGUCCACGGAGACAACAUAAUGCUCAUGAUUACCAGGUCUCUCUCUCUCGCUGUUAUUUUCUUUGUUGAAUAGAUGCGUGCAACUCAUUUCCCGUAGUAUGAAUUUUCAUACCUAUAUAUCUUAGUAGAUUAUUUGCAUUAGCAUUUAAUAUUAGUGACUUCAAUCAUCUCAGUUAUGAAGCUGUAUGUAUGUCUAAGUGUGUCUCUAAGCUUUUCCAAGAAUUAAUACCGAGUUCUAGAGACUUAAAUCCUACUAUUUUUUCAGUUUCGUGAUUCACAAAAGUUAAAUGUUGCAAAAUGUUGUUAAAAUAUGCAGGUUAUUUGGCAAGAUUGUGUUGAUCCUGACAACAUGACAUAUGAGGUUAGAAGAAAUUCUCUAUUUUUUUAUCUUUUUCUAGCUUAAUUAGGUGCAUUAUUUCUUUACUUUUCUCAGUAGGCUUUCAAUUAACUCUUAAUUUGUUGCACUUUUGAGUUUGAGUAAAAGAGAAAAACACAAUGCAGUGCAUUUGUAGAUUAAACCUUGUUUUCAGGACCUAUGUAAAAGUAGGAGGUUAGGUCUGAAAGAAUUACGUCUUCAGGUUGGGAAAUGAAAUGUUGUAUUUGGCUGCUAUGUCAUUGAGACAGCUGUAAAACAAAAUGGAUUCAGAGGUCAUUCUCCUGUUUUAGUUGUUUGGGUUGGUGGUCUCAAGAAAGGUGACAAAUGUUUUGGGGUUGAGAACAUUGAGGCCUUAGGGAGAGGGGGAGGUUGCUAGCAUAUUUACAAAAAUGUUUUUAAAAAUAAGAGGAAAUAGAGAAUGAAGUUUGUGAGUGGCUGCCACCAGCUCCACAUAAAAGGGAAGAAAAAAAAAAGAGGAGAGAAAACAGGAAGGGCUGUUGUUGGCUCUUCCCUGCCAAGAAUGAAUAAGUGAGGUGCAGAAGCUUUUAGAGAGAGACAGAGAUGGAGCAUUUAUUUAGAAAGUACCGGUGCUCUGCUCUUAGUAGAGUACUGGUAACCUACAUUAGUGAAGGAAAAACUUAGCUAGUAUAUGUUUAUUGUUAUAGGUGAAAAUUAGCCCCCAAAAAAGUACUAGAAUCACUUAGCAUACUUUUAGUUCAAUGAAUUCUGUGUGAAGUUGGAAUACGGUUUGCUUACUCAAUUUUAAAAAAAAUUAUUUCACGGACAAUAUUUUCCCUAGUUAUCCCACUGUGCUUCUGAGUAAAGAGUUUUAUUCUCCUGAAAGGGCAUAAUUCUGAUAUUUAGAAUUCCAAUAUUCUGGCAUUAUUUCAAAGUGCAGUUAGAGUUACUGCAGUAAUCAUGCAAGUUAUUUAUCUUUUAGGAAGAGAGUAAUGGUCCGGUGACAAAUUUUUAUAGCCAAACCUUUCCUUCCUAGUUUCAUGUUUAGCACCCCAACGGGUGGGUAGGCAGAGUGGACCAACCGUCCCGUGACUCAUGUUGCUUGUUUAUAGAAAACUAAGGAAGCUGUCUGGAUGAUGGAACUGGCUUAUGAUUCAGUGGUCUUGCUAGGGCCCAAGCAUUAUUUGGUCAAAACCUAAUAUGGAACAACUAAUUUGGUUUAGAUUGGUUUGGUUUAGUUUGAAAAGUUCAAAACCAAACCACAAUUUUGGUUUGAGACCAAACCAAACCACAAUUUUGGUUUCACUGUUUUUUCCUAUUAUUUAAAACCAAUCCAAACCAAAAUCUCUAUUUGAAAUAAUAAAUAUAAUGAUAUUAUAUAGUUUUUUAUGUUCUAUUUAUAUAUCUUUUUUUGUUAUUAAUAAUUUUAUCUUAUAACAUAUAAGCUCUCUUUAAUUUAAGGUUUUCCUAUAUGCUGACACUCAAAACUCUUUUGACAUUUUUUAAACCAGUACCCUCCAAGCUUCACCAUUGAUUCAUGCUUGUUCAUGAGUAAUUGAGUAUAUAAACUUUCUUUAAUUUACGACUUUUUGGUUCAAGUCUAAUUUUCGUUGUAUAUAAACAUUAUUUAUAUCUGCUUUAUUUUAUAUACUGGUCCUGUUCCAUGGUCAUCCUCUUUAUUCAUUAUUGGUUCCUUACAAUCUCAUUUAAGUAUUUUGAUUUGCUUGUUUGAUUUUUGUUAUAAUUUAGAUUGAUUUGAAAUCAAAAUUUCGGAAACCAAAAUAUUUUGGUUUGAUGUGAUUAUUCCUUAAAACCAAUCCAAACCAGUCCAUACUCAUCCUUAGACUUAGCUGAAAUCGUUGCUUAAUUUUAAUAGGUUAAAACACAAUAAUUUAGCAUUUUUUGAAUUGUUUCUUUAAUUUUUUUUUAUUAAUCAUUCAUGAUUACAUUUAUCUCUUUAGGAAUUACUUGAGUUAGGGGAGAGUGUUGGAACACAAAGUCGGGGUCUCACCCAAGAACUUAUUUCAUUGCUACCUGUUUCAAAAUACAAGUGCAGCUUAUUCUCAAGGAAGAAAUCAAGGAAAGAGAGGUACUGCUUAUGUUUCAUCUUUGCCUCGUUAAAAUGUGAUUUGCUUUUAUCAGCUGCUGCUUUUGGUCUUCCACAGAUUUUAAAUUGAAAUACUCAACAACCCUAGUUCAUCUUGGCAUAAGUUCUACUGGUUUGCAAGGUUAUGUUUGUAUUUAUCAUAAAUAUGUAUCCAGAUUAAAUUUAUGUUUGGUUUCCACGUUCCAUGCCCGAGACCUCAGCUUUUUUUUUUCUUUGGUGUUAUAACUGUUGUGGGUUCUUGUAAAAGGCUCAUAUUGAACCUAUACCAAUUAGGAUACUAGUAGUGAUGAGCAGACUUCAGUAGGGGGAUUUGAUGUUUGAGUGGCCUUUUCUUCAAGGCAUCCUCAGAUGCCAUUGUAUAGAAACGUAGUAACAUAAGAAUGUCUAGGUAGGUUAACAAACUAAAUUGUAACCUACUGGCCUUUGGGAUUUUAUGUCUCAAGUAAAAUCUUUCGACUUUCUUCUUCUUAGUGGAAAAAUCUAUUUACUUAAUAGGAUUUUGAUAAACUGAAAUCUGUAAUAUAUUGAAAUUGUGAUGGGCACACAGAUACACAUGUAGAUGAAUGGUUGGGCAUUUCCAUGCAGUAAUAAUAUUUUAUCAAACCCUCUUAGGAUAACCUAGUAAAAGUUUCUGGCAGGUCAGUCUAAACUUUAAAGGAAAGAUUGUCUUUGCCUCUUGGAUCGAUUAGCAGUUCAAUGAUAGAGUAGGAACAUCGAUCAUGUACAUAAAUGUUUUUGUAAUUUUCAAAAUCAAUGCCAGGAUUUUUUUUUAUUUUUAUAAUGGCUUGGUCUAAUUAGUUGUGUGAAUAAUAUGCAUGCCCCGCACAUUCUCCAUAUACAUUGAGAUUUGCAGCUUGUUUUAAUAUGGAUUACCACUCCCCUCCUUUGGUCUCUUCUCUUUCUGUCGGUCAAUAUGGUGAAUCUUAUCAUUAUUAUUUUUUGGACCAGAUGUGUAAUUUGCCAGAUGGAAUAUAAAAGAGGUGAGAGACAGAUUACCCUACCUUGCAAGCAUGUCUACCAUGCUGGGUGUGGCACCAGAUGGCUUAGCAUCAACAAGGUAACGUACUUUCCCCCCCUUUUCAUGAUUGAAAUCAUAAAACAUUUCCCUCCCCCCUCCACAAAAGUAAAAAAAUAAAAAAAUCAAGCGUUAAGAACAUGGAUCUUUAUUCCAUUUAUUUAGGCAGCAUUUUAGGAAGCUGCUAAUUGAAGCUUUAUUUCUUCAGGCUUGCCCUAUAUGUUAUACGGAGGUGUUUGGCAAUGGAUCAAAACAUUAAGGGACAAUGACGAUGAAUAUAAAGAAAAUAUUCGUAUGCUAUCAAUAUUUUUGGGUUGGAUUUGGGUAUUUACCCCUAAUACGAAGAUGUUCUAUUUCGACCUUUUACUUUGUUUAACAGAAGAAUAGUUGAUUGACUUUUGCAAUAAUUGAAAGGGAGUAUGGAUAUGGUAGAAGAUGGAUGUGUUAACUAGAAAAAGCCGGGGUGUAUAGAGUCUUCGAUAAUGUUUGUCGUAUUCAAAUUAUUGUCCAUUUCCUAUGCAUUUUCCUCAUUAUCGCACACUUUUGAGAAUGUGAUUAAUCUCAAAUAGCAAAGAAGUUUUAGGGUGCUCUCAGCGGCAGGGAGAAUAACCCUUGCUGAAUGACUACUGAAGUUCGAAUUUCUUUCUUAACUUUGGGGCUUCGGGUGUGGGAUAUAUGGGAGAAGGGAGAGUACAAUUUGUUAGUAACGUUGGGCUACUUUUUUUUAUUUUUCUUUUAAGGAUAUUAGUAUAUUAUAAUUAUAAAAUUAAAGCUUCAAUAAUCACUCUUAUUGUUGAUCAAUUCCAACAAUAAAUUAAUCACAGUAGUUAGGGAACGAGAAUGUGAUGCCUAAAUUAGCAAUUUCGUGGAAUCCCACAUCUCUCUCUUUUUUGGUUCGAAGGAUAAUACAUGGAAUCUCACAUCUGAAAUUGUUAAUUAUUGGCAUUCACGUGAAAAUGAACCCAACACAUUUGAAAAGAAAAGAAAAACAAAAAAAUCUUCAUUAUUACAACAAAAAAAUCCCCACAAAAAGGAAAGGGCGACAGUUUUAUUUGAACUGAAGAUUCUUUUAUUCUGUCCUUGUAAAAGUUAAAUUGGUCGGCCCGUCUUUUGAUCCGGCUUGUUUAGAAUCAUUGAUUAAGUCCACAAGAAAGACGGACAAUCAGUUUGUUUUAAUUUUCAAUCUCAAUUUUAACUUAGAUAUAUGAGAUUCGAAUAGGAGCAUGUUUGAUUUUGAUGUAUUUAUAUUAAUAAUUUUAAUUUAUUUAUAACUUCUAUUUCUAUCAAACUUUUAGUGCAAAAAAGGUUCCAACAAUAUUUACAAAUUUCGAUUGAAGUCUUAACCAAAAGCAAAUUAAAUGGAAAUAUCAUAAUUUUGUGCAACCACAAAAUAGAAUAUUAAUAUUUGUAAUAAGAUACGUUAAUGUGGGAAUAUUAUGUACAUCAUCAGUGAAUAACAAUAUGAUAUUUUAUAUUAAGUAAAAUGUGGUCAUGACCAGUUUGUCUUAGUUUGAAGUAUUAACGGUGGUGGUCUCUAAGUCACAAUAAAUUGCAUCUAUAUGGUAGGAAACUCCUUGAGCACGAUGAUAUAAACUUAAUACGUAUGAGAGAGUUGAAAUGCGAUCUAGAAGUGUGACGGCGGGAUAGUAAGAUAUCACCAGGGCGACUGAGUAUUUGGCUAUGGCCGCAACAUAAGCGUUAGCUCAAUCCUAGAGACAAAACUUCGAGAAAUUGUUGAUGGGCUAGAAACGACUUGGGAGAAGGGGGUGCAUUGGCUGCUAAUUAAGAGUGAUAGUAAAACAACAGUAGACCUAAUACUUGGAGCCGAAGUGAUGGGAUUGUCGAGAUUGGCAUUGGAGAUUCGCAACUGGAUGAUAAGGAAUUGGCAAGAUGUAAUGUUGAGAGAUAAGUGUUGCGUAACUAGUCUAUUGCUAUCCGUUGAGCAUUAUAGUUCAACUUCUUUUUGUAACUAAUAGAAAAUCUUUACUUAAAUAUAAGUAAGUAUUAAUAGUAAUUUUUAUAUAUUUUUUCAAAGAAAUCUCAAAUCUUAGAUUCAAAUAAUUAUAAUUGAUUAUGUUUAAAUAACAUUAUUCUUUAUAUUUUUAUUUAAUGGUAAUAUGUUAUCACUAAUAAUGUAUGAUAUUUGCACACUAAUGAUGCAUUAAAUAUUAUCCAUAUUAUUAGUUUAUGUAUUCUUAAAGAUAGUUUAAGGGUUUCGUUUGUGGGGAUAAUGGUAUAUAAAAUUAGCAGCGACCCAAAUAUGCUAAAAAGUCUGGGUGUUCAUAUUUUCUUCGGUAAAAGUAUUGGGAUUAAAAAAAAUUAAAUUAACCCUUAUAUAGUUUGUAACAUGUAAAUUAAUUUUUUAUUAGAUUUUUUUCUAUUAAAUAAUGAUAUGAAAUAUUAUGUUUUAUAGGCAAGUUAUAAAUAUGGUUAUCCGACUAUACCUUUUGUUCUAUUUUAGAUACCUAAUUAUUAUUAUUAUUUUUUGUAUUUAGUCACUAAAUUUUUCAAAAUUUAAUAUUUUAGUCACGGUAAAUAUUUUAGUCAUGCUAGAUUUACGUAAAAUUUUCUAUUUAAUGUUAUACAUCAUCAUUUAACAGAAAAAAAUGAACGAAAAAUUAAUUUACUCGUUUUAAAUGUAUAAUAACUAAUAUAUUUAUUUUCUCAAUAGAAAAAAAAAAACAGAAAUACAAUUCGCCAAGAGCUUGUUAUCUAUUUUAUUCUCUGGUACGCAAGAUUAUAUAUAUCAGGUAUACAUUAAGUAGCAAUAUUUUAAGGUAGCAGCAUAUGGUUACCAAUGUUUCUUUGCAUCAAACGCAUUUUCUCCAUCAAAACUUUCAACCACCAAACCCAACUGGUUGAUUGCAUAAAAACUUUGAUCAUACGGAGUUUGAAUUUUAGAGUAAAAUAACAUAUCCAAAAAUAACUUAAAUAGAAAACAAAACAGAAAUUCAAUCCCCUCUAGCCUCUAAAUGAAUUAUAAGAUGAGAAAUUUGCCAUUAAUUACACCUUAACUAAAAUAAGGGGAAAGCAUAAAAGAAGAUCCGACAAGUAGCUUAGACUAAUUCGUUGGUUAAAAGCAUACAAUACCUAAAUCCUUCAUCUUUGAAGCAUUAAAAGCGAGCAGGUAAGAUAUGAAAGGGUCAAAUAAAUAAAUUUUAGUUCUACUAAUGAUUUAUAUUUACCGGCGACAGCCUGCAUGUUGAGUUUAAACCAUAUUAUUAUAGAUGUACUGCAAAGUCAUCAUGUUGAGACCUCUUCUUUCGGCUUGAACGCGUUGGAGUUUUAUUAAUGACAGUAACCCAUUUUUAUAUUUACAUACUUCCAGGGAAACAGCCAAUCGUGAUGGCAAUUUGGAGUUUUAUUAUAUUAAGGUCAGAUGCUAGUGUAUUGGAAAAACAUUUAUAUCCAGCUUGCUAUCUUGCCUAUAUUAAAUUCAUCAAUGAGUAUAUAAGGGGGCUUUCUCUUCUCCAUGGAUAUAUGCCUUUUAACAGUUGAUUGAGUAAUUAGCUUCCUAGCAUUUAGAAUUGUAUUGCCAGGGAAAUGGGGACUUCAGCACACCCACCGCCCCACUGGCCUCCACUCCUCUUUGCUUUCACAUUUUGCCUUGUAGCAACAAUUGCGGUUGCUUAUCAACCUUACGAAUAUUCCUCUCCACCAAAGCACCCUGCCUACAAACAUUAUUCUCCUUACUAUUACAAUUCACCACCUCCUUACUACUACAAGUCUCCACCUCCACCAUCUCCCUCACCACCUCCUCCUUACUAUUACAAAUCACCACCACCCCCUUCACCUAGUCCCCCACCACCAUACUACUACAACUCACCACCUCCACCAUCUCCUUCACCACCUCCUCCUUACUAUUACAAGUCUCCACCCCCACCCUCACCUAGUCCCCCACCACCAUACUACUACAAGUCACCACCUCCACCGUCUCCCUCACCACCUCCUCCUUACUAUUACAAAUCACCACCACCCCCUUCACCUAGUCCCCCACCACCAUACUACUACAACUCACCACCUCCACCAUCUCCCUCACCACCUCCUCCUUACUACUACAAAUCACCACCACCACCUUCACCUAGUCCUCCACCACCAUACUACUACAAGUCACCACCUCCACCAUCUCCCUCACCACCUCCUCCUUACUACUACAAAUCACCACCCCCACCUUCACCUAGUCCUCCACCACCCUACUACUACAAGUCUCCACCUCCACCAUCCCCUAGUCCCCCACCACCAUACUACUACAAAUCACCACCCCCACCAUCUCCUAGCCCUCCACCACCAUAUUACUACAGGUCCCCACCUCCACCAUCUCCUAGUCCACCAUCACCGUACUACUACAAGUCACCACCACCCCCUUCACCUAGUCCCCCACCACCAUACUACUACAAGUCACCGCCUCCACCAUCUCCUAGUCCCCCACCACCAUACUCUUACAAGUCACCACCACCACCAUCUCCCUCACCACCACCUCCAUACUACUACAAAUCUCCUCCUCCACCGUCUCCAUCACCCCCUCCUCCUUACUACUACAAAUCACCACCACCUCCUUCUCCAUCACCCCCGCCACCUUACUAUUAUAAGUCACCUCCUCCACCACCUCCUUAUCACUACUAGUCACCUCUCCUUGAGUGAAAUUUCCACCUCAUUAUUACCCUACAUCACCACAGUUUCAAAGGGCCACUAAGCUAAGUUAAUAUUUAAUCUCUUUACACGGGUUGAAGAUUUGACAAGGAAGAAGAAUAAUUGUGGAAUUUCUUUGAUAAGCUUCUUGAACAUGUUUUUCAGUAUUCUUCAUUUAUAUAUGUAAAUUGU